This 475-nucleotide ribosomal RNA is filed under the name uncultured bacterium. RNAcentral describes it as "bacterial SSU rRNA". It matches the Rfam family "Bacterial small subunit ribosomal RNA", at positions 33 to 507 of the family's 1533-position model. The record is from RNAcentral.
AGGACGACGCUGGCGGCGUGCUUCAGACAUGCAAGUCGAGCGGGCGGAGGUCGAACCGCAAGGGAGGCUGAAGCUAGCGGCGAACGGGUGAGUAACACGUGGGUAAUCUACCCGGAAGACUGGGAUAACGGCCCGAAAGGGCCGCUAAUACCGGAUAAUAUCGCGGUCUCGCAUGAGGCUGCGAAGAAAGGCGAAAGCCACUUUCGGAUGAGCCCGCGACCCAUCAGCUAGUUGGUGAGGUAACGGCUCACCAAGGCGACGACGGGUAGCCGGUCUGAGAGGAUGGUCGGCCACACUGGGACUGAGAUACGGCCCAGACUCCUACGGGAGGCAGCAGUCGGGAAUAUUGGGCAAUGGGCGAAAGCCUGACCCAGCGACGCCGCGUGAGGGAAGAAGGCCUUCGGGUCGUAAACCUCUGUCAUCGGGGACGAAGGAAGUGACGGUACCCGAGGAGGAAGCCCCUGCUAACUACGUG